This 311-nucleotide long non-coding RNA is filed under the name Carica papaya (papaya). RNAcentral's name for it is "long non-coding RNA (CPAP_LNC004305)". The record is from RNAcentral. Lineage: Eukaryota; Viridiplantae; Streptophyta; Magnoliopsida; Brassicales; Caricaceae.
UAACAUGAGAAGUAAAUUAAAUAAGUUCAAUGCAGCCUAAAUGCCCGAAUAAAUAAUGUUUUCCAAAUUAAUUAAGCACAACGAUGGACGAGAUGUUGUAGAAAAUGGUAAAGGGAUUAGUAGUGAUAUAGUGAGAGACAUGUAUGUUAUGGAAAGAGUAUGAGAAGGGUAAAAUGGAAAAAUAGUAGAUUUAAGUUGAAUUAAGUCUAUGAUAGUAUUGGGGAUUGUGUCUAAAAAGAAAACGAGUCAAAUGUCCAAUAAAACUUAACUCAUCAAGUUGUCUAGUGUAAAUCCAGUUCAUUGAUUUCUUU